This 69-nucleotide transfer RNA is filed under the name Rattus norvegicus (Norway rat). It matches the Rfam family "tRNA". From Rfam's summary of the family: Transfer RNA (tRNA) molecules are approximately 80 nucleotides in length. Their secondary structure includes four short double-helical elements and three loops (D, anti-codon, and T loops). Further hydrogen bonds mediate the characteristic L-shaped molecular structure. tRNAs have two regions of fundamental functional importance: the anti-codon, which is responsible for specific mRNA codon recognition, and the 3' end, to which the tRNAs corresponding amino acid is attached (by aminoacyl-tRNA synthetases). tRNAs cope with the degeneracy of the genetic code in two manners: having more than one tRNA (with a specific anti-codon) for a particular amino acid; and 'wobble' base-pairing, i.e. permitting non-standard base-pairing at the 3rd anti-codon position. Lineage: Eukaryota; Metazoa; Chordata; Mammalia; Rodentia; Muridae. The record is from Rfam by way of RNAcentral.
GGGGAUUUAGCUCAGUGGUAGAGCGCUUGCCUAGGAAGCGCAAGGCCCUGGGUUCGAUCCCUAGCUCUG